UACCUAGAAAAAGAGCACAUAUCACAAUGACUGCAAUAAAUUAAGGUUCAAGGUGCUGAACUUCCUACUAAGCAACAGUUUCAUUGCAGGAAGUUUACUCAUUGAAGGAAGAUAUCCAGUGCUCUGAAUCCUGCCUGUUUGAGAACCAGGCAGUAGUCCGGGGAGUCCUCCAGGUGCACCAGCUCCCGGGUAGAGAUGGAGCGAAAGGUGUCGGCGAUGGCGCCGCGGCCGGCCGCGCUGUUGCCAGCACCCUGCAGCAGGUCCACCUUGAGUGCUGCGUGGUACUUCUCCUUCAGGUGCGCGCCCACCUCGCGGAACUCGGGC
RNAcentral lists this long non-coding RNA (324 nucleotides) under Homo sapiens (human). Its description in RNAcentral is "non-protein coding lnc-SEC31B-2:1". Lineage: Eukaryota; Metazoa; Chordata; Mammalia; Primates; Hominidae. The record is from RNAcentral.